This 1125-nucleotide long non-coding RNA is filed under the name Anser cygnoides (Swan goose). Its description in RNAcentral is "lncRNA (ENSACDG00005009114.1)". Lineage: Eukaryota; Metazoa; Chordata; Aves; Anseriformes; Anatidae. The record is from RNAcentral.
AUGGCCAGAGGGAAAACUACUUUGGCCUCCUGGUCUCACUUUUUAAAUUCUGUUAUUUCUCUUGCAAGUGGCCGCCAGGGAAUCGCUGACCUCCGGAGUGAGAGGCUUGCUCUGAAAGGUCUUGUGCUGCUGGACGCAUACGCCAGGCACACCCACUGUAACAACCAGCACACACUGGGAUAUUCCGGGGGGGAGGAGGGGGACUUAAAAGGAGCAAGUUCACCAAGGACUUUUGUCAAAUAUGACGUCUCUGCUUGUCCCUCUUCCACUACCUGGAGCGGUGCCGUGUGCGUGAUACGCACCCACCCCAGACGGGGAGCACAGGGACCGCUUCCUCACCCUGUGGCCCAGAUACCGCUAAAGGAGAGCCGACCAGCGACCCAUCCUGAGGCCGCAGCCCUAUGUCAGGCGGGUUCAGCCCGCAGGGGUUGCUUUCACCCUGUGUCACACCUGGCCGGGGUCUGCUCUGAACCACAGGCGGUGCCUCUUCGGCCCAAAGACGCUUUUUUGUGUUGCUGUCUCCUUUCAGCACACAGGGCCAGAAACAACAUGAGGCCCUGUGGUGCUGUACAGCCAGAAAACGAAGGUACGAGUGUGGUUCCCCCCUCCUUUCAAUGCUCUUAUGAGCUAGUUGUGGCUGCUGCAGAGGCACAGCCUGUGGCAUCCAGAGAGCUGAAACCUGUGGCGAGAAGCCUGGUGUGGCUCCCCACCAACCGAGACUGGCUGCUGCUGUUCUGGGGGCAGCCAUCGCCUCGCCUUCACCCAGUUACCUGUUGUGAGACCCCUGUCAGGAGAUCUUCUCCCAAGGGCAGCAGGCAGGGCAGUCAUCGCUCACCUUGCGCACAAGGGAUCACCUCUGGUGGCUGGAAGCCUCCUUGGGGGGGUCCUGUGAAAGAGCAGAGCAGCAUCUUGCCAAACCAGUGCAAUACACACGGCGUUGGGUCCAAUGUGAGGCAAGAUUUUGGGAUCCUGGUGACAGAGACAUGCCAGGUAUGUAGGAGGAGAAAACAGUCACUGUUUAGGGGAUGGCUGUGUUGGGACGAGCCUUCUCCAACUGGUGUCCCGCAGCUGCUUUCGUUCUGGGAUGUGGCACACACAUCAGGUUUGUCAGCUGAGCUGGGCUAG